CUGCUCGCUCGGCGGCGCGGGCUGGACCGGGGUGGGGAUUCCUGUCUGGGGCCCCUGGGGCUCCUUUAAGGGCUCCUGGGUAAAUUUAAAGGGGCCGCGCGCAAUUUCCUCCUGCCAGCUCGCGGGGGGCUGGCGCGGGGAAGGCGGGAGGUGGCGAGUCCGCAGUGGGCGCCAGUUACGGACGCGGGGAGCACGGACCUCGGCGCCCUCACGGGCCCGCCCCGCCGCGUCCGCAGCUGCAGCUGCAGCUCAGGCUUGCAAAGAGUCGCCGAGGUGACCAGGGGCGCCCUCGUCCAGUCGGCUACGACGCGCCUCAGCCACCGCCCCCUCGGGGCAUCUCUACGAGCAGCUCUCCGCAGCCGGCCAGCUGGGGACCUCCCGGUGCGCCGGCCCGGAUCCUUCCCCCAGGUGCCUCCUUGUCCUCCCGCGCGAGCUGGGCGCGGGCCCCGAGCGGACGAGCCUGGCAGGGGCCCCAGAUGGCCGCGGCCCCGCGGAGAGGGUGGAGCCGUGGGGGCCGCCGCGACCCCUCCCGCGGGAGCCUGGGGCUAACGCUGGCAGCUCUGGCUUCCACCGGGGAGGGGCGGCGGGGCGAGGCUUCCACCGAGCCGGCCCGGGUGAGGGCGGCGGCCGCGAAAGUGCAAGCCCAGGAGAGGGGCGCGCAGAGCACUGGAGGAGAGCGAGCGCGCUGCGCCUGGCCAGCCGGCGUUACGAAACAACGGAGGUGGCCCCGGGCUGGAAGCCGGAAAGAGAGGGCGACUGCGGCGCUUAGUCUUUGCAGCCAACCCAUGAACCCGGAGCUGGCUGUUAAAAUGAAAAAGCAGAGACUACCAAGAGAAGGCACCAGUCCAAGCCAGGAAUGAUGGCACACACCUUUAAUCCCGGCACUCAGGACGCAAAGAAGGAUCCGAAUGUCCUGUGUGAUUCUUGCUGGCGAGGCAAUAGCGCGGGACAUCUGGUGCCGAAACCCGGGAACUUGUUAACAUCGCCGGCACCGCGGAGACCCCUUGGCUACAAGGCGGAUUCAGAACUGCAAGGUGGUAAAUUCGGAGAGGUAUGUCUUUUCUGGACUUUGGCUUGGGAAUGUUGCUAUUUUGGGAGGUUAGUGUAGAGGCUUCUGUGCUUUUACUAGGAGCCAUUUUGACCUUUCUCACUGUUGUAACAAUCUUAAAGAAGUCCAGAAUUACAUGUCAGAAACCGAAUGUAGUGAGAGAUGGGGCGCGCCCAACAAUAAAAUAUAAGGAAAAAGGACCUCCCGGGAUGUCUAAUGACAAGGGAGUGUGUAUAAAAAGAAAAACAGCAACAAAUAAGAAAAAAGGACCUCCCGGGAUGUCUAAUGACAAGGGAGUGAGUAAUUUGUUAGAUGAUUCUAUAAAUAAGUUUAAAGCUUUAAAUCUUGAUAGCUCUGAUGACUCUAAAAGCUCAAGAGAUAAAGUUUUAGAGGAAACAGCUCAGCUAGGUGAAAAAGAAACAAAAAAGGAGGGAGAGAAAAUAGGGGAUAACCGGUCACACCCCGGUAAAUUUAAGAGACCUGUUAAUCCAGCGGGUGUACUUCCAUCAACACCCCCAUUAUUUGGUACCAACUCCUUUUUACCAUUAGAGGAGCGGAGGAAAUUACAGAUGGCUUUCCCAGUCUUUGAUAGGGGAAAAGGCCAUGCAUGUUAUUCAACACUUCUUGGAGGCCUGGAAUGCCUGGGGCUUUAAAGCCUCAUAAACAUUGACGCUCGGGGCCAUACCGCGGCCAAGCGUCACACCUCAAAACCUGAAAGGCCAAAGGAAAUGGUAAAAUGGAAAGAUAUCUUAACUGGUCUUUGGAGAGGCCCGGAUCCUAUUCUCAUAAGAUCCAGGGGAGCUAUGUGUUUUUCCACAGGAUGAAGAGAAUCCCCUCUGGAUCCCGGAAAGACUCACCCGAAGAGCCCCUUCGGACCUUCAAAAGUCGAAACUCCACCCUCUCCCCGGGAGUUGAGAGCCCCUAUUAUCCAGAUUAACUCCUGUCCUUGACGGAGAGAUUGUCAUCGCUUAAUGGGUGGGGAUGGGAUUGUUUGGUGCAGCCGUUUGCUGCGGAUUGGUGUUACUUCUCUGGCUGGUCUGUAGGCUCAAGGCUCAAACUAAGAGAGACAAGAUGGUUAUCGCCCAAGCGCUUGUAGCUUUAAAACAAGGGGCUUCCACUGAUAUUUGGCUAACUAUGCUUAAGCAAUAGGCCGCCGGCCAGACAGCUCUUGCACACCCGGAGCCUAGGCUCAUUGCACAGGGUAGAGUGUCUGGUUUGAGCAGCCCAUGAGGGAUGUUGAGCAAGGCAUCGCACAGAGAGUUGCCCAGUAUGCAGGCUUCUCUGGGAGGCAUGUUGUCCUGCAUAAGGGUUGCCUGCCCUAGUCUCCCUUUCCCAGAAAAAUGGCAGAGGACAGGUCGAGAGCACUUCGGGUCAAGCUAACAGCCUGAUGGCGACUCUUGUACACAGUCUUAAUGUUUGAUUGGGAAGGUACAACCUCUGCCUCUAUCCCUCAACAUAUGGGUGACCUAUUUGCUUGUAAAAAUAUAAAGCCUUAUCAUUAAUUAAUAAAAAAGGGGGAUAUGUAGGGAGCCGUCCCUGCAUUCUCCAUUACAAUGAUGGUGCCUGCAGGCACUGAAUGUAAAUUAUUUCGCAGGCGCUGGGUAAUUUUCCAUUUCUUUGAUCUCUGCCUAUCCCGUGGCUCAUAUGGCCUGAGGAGCUGAAGCCAUUCAUAGGGUGACACGUCCCAGGCGGGGCUGCCAGCCUUUAUUAGGGGACGGGAUUCUUGGCUCAGGGUCUCCGCUCUGGUAAGCCUAUGCUCUCCUCUCUCAAGAUGCAUUAAAGCUUUCCUGCAGAAGGAUCCGAAUGUCCUGUGUGAUUCUUGCUGGCGAGGCGAUAGCGCGGGACAGCCUGCAAGUGUGCACCACAUGCAUACAGAGCCCUUAGAGGCCAGGAAAGGGCACCAGAACCCUGGAAUUGGAGUUUCAAAGACUAUAGUCACCAUAUGGGUGCUGGGAACCAAACAAAACCUAGGUUUUCUGCAAGAGCAGCAAGUACUCUGUCUUUGUUUGUUGUUUUGG
RNAcentral lists this long non-coding RNA (3066 nucleotides) under Cricetulus griseus (Chinese hamster). RNAcentral's name for it is "lncRNA (ENSCGRG00015037642.1)". Lineage: Eukaryota; Metazoa; Chordata; Mammalia; Rodentia; Cricetidae. The record is from RNAcentral.